This is a long non-coding RNA of Glycine soja, 4354 nucleotides long. RefSeq lists it as uncharacterized. The transcript is spliced from 3 exons. The record is from RefSeq and is a predicted model, not a curated record. NCBI's taxonomy places the organism in Eukaryota, Viridiplantae, Streptophyta, Magnoliopsida, Fabales, Fabaceae.
UCAUCCUUAGAUUUCGUCACUCGCGGAAUGUAAAAUAUCUAUGGAAGGGUAUUUAUGGGUAACAUAAAUGCGUUAUUACUGGAGACAGAAUGAAUAAAACUAACAUGAUUCUACAAAAUGCCAAGCAAGCAGAAUUUCUUCCGAAGCUAGCCAAGACAAAUUCACAGUCCGUAAUGCCCCUUCCCCUUUCCUUUUGGUAACCAAAACACACACCGCAUAACAAAGAAUACUACAAGAAAACGAGGAGAGAGAGAAAAGUGAAUGGUUGUCUUUUUUACAACUAAUAUACAUUUCUACUUUAGUUGUUCAGCCACGCACUUUCUCUAUCUGCGUUUUCAAAUUUGAAGUCAAACGCGUUCAAUCGUCGUCUUUGUCAUUAAUUCCCAUAUUGUUUCCACGGCAGCUUUUUCUAGCAGUCGAUGGAACUAUGAAUGAUGGGGUGGAUUUGAUUCCAAUAUCAAGCCGCAAUGCAAAGCCUCCAGGUGUUGAAUUGUGGGCAGUUCUUGAUGUCCCUGUACAUUAGGUUGGCGCUUCUUGGAAAAAUUUAAGCCAUUCACUAUCAGGUCUCUUUUGUGCUUCAAUCAACUUCAUGGAGUCUUCUACCACUUAUUCUACUCCUGAAUUGGCAUUUCAAUCAGCUUUGGGCAGUUUAAGAUAUGGUACACUGCCACGUGAAAUCGAUAAAGUGUGGGUGCCUCUACCAGAUGAAAUUCUAUAAUCAUUUGCAAAAUUUUGGUAUACAAGAUUGGCCCUGUCCCUGAAAUCGGAAAGUGUGGUUGCCUCUAUGAGAUGAAAUUCUAUAUUCAUCAUCUGCAAAAUUUCGAUAUGCAAGAAUGAUCCUGUCCCUGGAAUCGAAAAAACGUGAUUACCUCUAUGAGAUGAAAUUCUAUAUUCAUCAUCUGCAAAAUUUCGAUAUGCAAGAAUGAUCCUGUCCCUAAAAUCGAAAAAAUGUGAUUGUCUCUAUGAGAUGAAAUUCUAUAUUCAUCAUCUGCAAAAUUUUAGUAUAAAAGAAUGACCCUGACCCUGAAAUUGAAAAAGUGUGGUUGCCUCUAUGAGAUGAAAUUUGAUAUUCAUCAUCUGCAAAAUUUUCGGUAUAAAAGAAUGACCCUGUACCUGAAAUCGGAAAAGUGCGGUUGCUUGCCUCUAUGAGAUGAAAUUCUAUAUUCAUCAUUUGCGAAAUUUCCGUAUACAAGAAUGGCCAUAUCCCUGAAAUUGGAAAAGUGUGGUUGCAUCAUUGAGAUGAAAUUCUAUAUUCAUCAUCUACAAAAUUUUGGUAUACAAGAAUGACCCUGACCCUGAAUUCAGAAAAGUGUGGUCGCCUCUAUGAGAUGAAAUUCUAUAUUCAUUAUUUGCAAAAUUUUGGUAUACAAGAAUGGCCCUGUCCCUGAAAUCGGAAAAGUGUGGUUGCCUCUAUGAGAUGAAAUUUUAUAUGCAUCAUUUGCAAAAUUUUGGUAUACAAGAAUGACCCUAACCUUGAAGUCGAAAAAGUGUGGUUGCCUCUGAGAUGAUUUCUUUAUUCAUCAUUUGCAUAAUUGGGGUAUUCGAACCCUAUAUAAGAAUGACCCUGGCCCUGUAAUGAGAAAAAUGUGGUUGCCUCUAUGAGAUGAAUUCUUUAUUCAUCAUCUGCAAAUUUUUGGUACAUAAGAAUGACCUAAACCCUGAAAUUGAAAAACUGUGGUUGCCUCUAUGGUACACUGCCACGUGAAAUCGAAAAAGUGUGGGUGCCUCUACCAGAUGAAAUUCUAUAAUCAUUUGCAAAAUUUUGGUAUACAAGAUUGGCCCUGUCCCUGAAAUCGGAAAGUGUGGUUGCCUCUAUGAGAUAAAAUUAUAUAUUCAUCAUUUGCAAAAUUUCGGUAUGCAAGAAUGAUCCUGUCCCUUAAAUUGGAAAAUGUGCUUGCCUCUAUGAGAUGAAAUUCUAUAUUCAUCAUUUGCAAAAUUUCGGUAUACAACAAUGACCCUGACCCUGAAAUCGAAAAAGUGUGGUUGCCUCUAUGAGAUGAAAUUCUACAUUCAUCAUCUGCAAAAUUUCGGUAUACAACAAUGACCCUGACCCUGAAAUCGAAAAAGUGUGGUUGCCUCUAUGAGAUGAAAUUCUACAUUCAUCAUCUGCUAAAUUUCAGUAUAUAAGAAUGUCCAUGUCCCUGAAAUCGAAAAAGUGUGGUUGUUUGCCUCUAUGAGAUGAAAUUUUAUAUGUAUCAUUUGCAAAAUUUCGGUAUACAAGAAUGGCCCUAUCCCUGAAAUUGGGAAAGUGUGGUUGCCUCUAUGAGAUGAAUUUCUAUAUUCUUUAUCUGUAAAUUUUCAGUAUAUAUGAAUGACCUUGGCCCUGAAUUCAGAAAAGUGUGGUUGCCUCUAUGAGAUGAAAUUCUAUAUUCAUUAUUUGCAAAAUUUUGGUAUACAAGAAUGGCCUUGUCCCUGAAAUCGGAAAAGUGUGGUUGCCUCUAUGAGAUGAAAUUUUAUAUGUAUCAUUUGCAAAAUUUUGGUAUACAAGAGUGACCCUGAACUUGAAGUCGAAAAAGUGUGGUUGUCUCUGAGUAUUUCUUUAUUCAUCAUUUGCAAAAUUGGGGUAUUCGAACCCUAUAUAAGAGUUACCCUGGCCCUGUAAUGGAAAAAGUGUGCUUACCUCUAUGAGAUGAAUUCUUUAUUCAUCAUCCGCAAAUUUUUGGUACAUAAGAAUGACCUAAACCCUGAAAUUGAAAAACUGUGGUUGCUUCUGAGUUGGAUUCUUCAUUCAUCAUCUACAAAAUCUGGGUAUAUAAACCCUUUAAGGUUGACCCUAACCUUAUAAUAGAAAAGUGUGGUUGCCUCUAUGAGAUGAAUUCUUUAUUCAUUCAUCUGCAUAAUUUGGGUAUAUAAAUCCUACAAGGUUGACGUUGACCUUGUAAUCGAAAAAGUGUUGUUUCCUCUAUGAGAUGAAUUCUUUAUUCAUUCGUCUGAUAAUUUGGGUAUAUAAAUCCUACAAAGUUGACCUUGAACCUGUAAUCUAAAAAGUGUUGUUGCCUUUAUGAGAUGGAUUCUUCAUUCAUCAUGAACAAAAUUAGGGCUCUGAUCCUAUAAAAGGAAAAUUGUGGUUGCCUUUAUGAGAUGAAUUAUUUAUUCAUCAUGAGCAAAAUUAGGGUAUAUAAACUCUAUAAGGUUGACCCUGACCAUUUAAUGGAAAAGUGUGGUUGCCUCUAUGAGAUGAAUUCUUUAUUCAUUCAUCUGCAUAAUAUAUAAAUCCUAAGAGGAAUUCUUUAUUCUUCAUGAGCAAAAUUAGGAUAUAUAAACCCUAUAAGUUUGACCCUGACCAUGAAACGAAUAAGUGCAUUUGUCCCUAUGUGAUGGAUUCUUUAUACAUCGUCUGAAAAUUAGGGUAUAUAAAUCUCAUAAGGCUGACCCUGAAAACGGAAAAGUGUGGUUGCCACUAUGAGCUGAAUUCAUCUGAAAAAUUGGAGUAUCUACAAGGUUGACUCUGACCCCCUAAACAAAAUUUUUGGUUGCCUUUAUGAGAUGGAUUCUUUAUUCACUUAAAAAUUAGGGUAUAUAAUGAUGACCCUGACCUUGAAUUCGGAAAAGUGUAGUUGUCCCUUGGAGAUGGAUUCUUUGUUUUAAAAAGAGAUGUUAAUUUUGAGCCCCAAUGACCCGAAACCAAGCUGCAUGUUUAAAUCUUUGUUGCAUGACUUCAAAUCAAAAGGCAUAUUUUAAGGUAUAUAAACCCUUUAAGGUUGACCUUGAUUCUGAAAUCGAAAAAGUACAGCUGUCUCUAUGAUGGAUCCUUUAUUCAUCUGAAGGCUGCUCACACUGGUGGAGGGACUUGAGGAAGAUCUAUCAUAACUCUGGUCAGAGCCUCUUUCAACAAAACUUGGGAUGGAAGAUUGGGGGGGGGAUAGAAUCCAUUUCUGGACAGAUAGAUGGUUAGGGGAAGACUGCACCCUAAAGUAGAAAUAUAAUUCCCUGUUUUUGAUCAGCAGACAACAACACAGCACUAUCUCACAGAUGGGGAAUUUUUCUGACGAUGGCUGGAGAUGGGAUCUCAAUUGGAGGAGGAAUUUAUUUGACCACGAAAGUAUAUUGGCAGUGAAUUUUAUGGAUGAUAUUUCCUCUAUUCUUAUUCAGAGAAAUGUGAAGGAUACUAUGGUGUGGAAAGCUGAAUCUACAGGAGUAUAUUCCACCAGUUCAGCAUAUAGAAUGAUGUUGAAUAUCAAUGCCUCAGCCUCAGAUGUUAGAAUUUUCAAAUUAAUUUGGAAGAUGAACAUCCCCCCAAGGGCAGCAACUUUCACUUGGAGGCUCCUCAAGGACAGAUUACCUACUAAGGGUAACCUUCUAAGAAGAAAUAUCAUUAUCCAAGAUGCUGAUUGCCCUUUAUGUGGUCAAGUUC